CCGCAUAAUACCGGGGAAGGACAUCCUUUUCCGGUCAAAGGAGCGAUCCGGUGACGGAUGGGCAUGCGCCGCAUUAGUUAGUUGGCGGUGUAACGGACCACCAAGACGACGAUGCGUAGGGGUUCUGAGAGGAAGGUCCCCCACACUGGUACUGAGACACGGACCAGACUCCUACGGGAGGCAGCAGUGAGGAAUAUUGGUCAAUGGGCGAGAGCCUGAACCAGCCAAGUCGCGUGAGGGAAGACGGUCCUAUGGAUUGUAAACCUCUUUUGCCGGGGAGCAAAAAGCGGUACGUGUACCGCAUCGAGAGUACCCGGAGAAAAAGCAUCGGCUAACUCCGUGCCAGCAGCCGCGGUAAUACGGAGGAUGCGAGCGUUAUCCGGAUUUAUUGGGUUUAAAGGGUGCGCAGGCGGCGAGUUAAGUCAGCGGUAAAAUUUCGGGGCUCAACCCCGACGAGCCGUUGAAACUGGCUUGCUAGAGUGGGCGAGAAGUAUGCGGAAUGCGUGGUGUAGCGGUGAAAUGCAUAGAUAUCACGCAGAACUCCGAUUGCGAAGGCAGCAUACCGGCGCCCAACUGACGCUCAGGCACGAAAGCGUGGGUAUCGAACAGGAUUAGAUACCCUGGUAGUCCACGCAGUAAACGAUGAGCACUAAUUGUCCGGUCCGAGUGAGGGCUGGGUGAUACAGCGAAAGCGUUAAGUGCUCCACCUGGGGAGUACGCCGGCAACGGUGAAACUCAAAGGAAUUGACGGGGGCCCGCACAAGCGGAGGAACAUGUGGUUUAAUUCGAUGAUACGCGAGGAACCUUACCCGGGCUCAAACGCGGCGUGAAUACUUUUGAAAGGAGGUAGUCAGCAAUGACACGCCGCGAGGUGCUGCAUGGUUGUCGUCAGCUCGUGCCGUGAGGUGUCGGCUUAAGUGCCAUAACGAGCGCAACCCCUACCGUCAGUUGCCAUCAGGUAAAGCUGGGGACUCUGACGGGACUGCCGGCGCAAGCUGUGAGGAAGGCGGGGAUGACGUCAAAUCAGCACGGCCCUUACGUCCGGGGCGACACACGUGUUACAAUGGCAGGUACAGCGGGAAGCCACCUGGCGACAGGGCGCGGAACCCGAAAACCUGUCUCAGUUCGGAUUGGAGUCUGCAACCCGACUCCAUGAAGCUGGAUUCGCUAGUAAUCGCGCAUCAGCCACGGCGCGGUGAAUACGUUCCCGGGCCU
This 1215-nucleotide ribosomal RNA is filed under the name uncultured bacterium. RNAcentral describes it as "bacterial SSU rRNA". It matches the Rfam family "Bacterial small subunit ribosomal RNA", at positions 169 to 1381 of the family's 1533-position model. The record is from RNAcentral.